RNAcentral lists this non-coding RNA (181 nucleotides) under Austwickia chelonae. The record is from RNAcentral. Lineage: Bacteria; Bacillati; Actinomycetota; Actinomycetes; Micrococcales; Dermatophilaceae. RNAcentral also lists the same sequence under 1 other name.
AUAGAUUCGCGAAGAAUCAGUCGCACCCACCUCGGGUGCCAGGGAAUCCGGUGCGAAUCCGGAGCUGGCGCGCAGCGGUGAGGGUGAUGACGACGGCGACGAACCACUGGGGACGACCCGGGAAGGUGCCGUACGUCAGGUGAACCCCAGCCCGAAGACCUGCUGAUUCGUUCCACGACAU